RNAcentral lists this transfer RNA (90 nucleotides) under Akkermansia sp. Its description in RNAcentral is "tRNA-Ser". It matches the Rfam family "tRNA". From Rfam's summary of the family: Transfer RNA (tRNA) molecules are approximately 80 nucleotides in length. Their secondary structure includes four short double-helical elements and three loops (D, anti-codon, and T loops). The record is from RNAcentral. Lineage: Bacteria; Pseudomonadati; Verrucomicrobiota; Verrucomicrobiia; Verrucomicrobiales; Akkermansiaceae.
GGAGCGGUGGCUGAGAGGCUGAAAGCAACCGUUUGCUAAAUGGUCGUACGGGCAUAACCCGUACCGGGGGUUCGAAUCCCCCCCGCUCCG